AUUGAACGCUGGCGGCAUGCCUUACACAUGCAAGUCGAACGGCAGCACGGGAGCAAUCCUGGUGGCGAGUGGCGAACGGGUGAGUAAUAUAUCGGAACGUGCCCAGUGAUGGGGGAUAGCCCGGCGAAAGCCGGAUUAAUACCGCAUACGACCUACGGGUGAAAGCAGGGGAUCGCAAGACCUUGCGUCAUUGGAGCGGCCGAUAUCAGAUUAGCUGUUGGUGGGGUAAAAGCCUACCAAGGCGACGAUCUGUAGCUGGUCUGAGAGGACGACCAGCCACACUGGGACUGAGACACGGCCCAGACUCCUACGGGAGGCAGCAGUGGGGAAUUUUGGACAAUGGGCGCAAGCCUGAUCCAGCCACGCCGCGUGCGGGAAGAAGGCCU
RNAcentral lists this ribosomal RNA (386 nucleotides) under uncultured bacterium. Its description in RNAcentral is "bacterial SSU rRNA". It matches the Rfam family "Bacterial small subunit ribosomal RNA", at positions 29 to 417 of the family's 1533-position model. The record is from RNAcentral.